Molecule: ribosomal RNA, 497 nt
Filed under: uncultured bacterium
Lineage: Bacteria
Description: partial 16S ribosomal RNA
Rfam family: Bacterial small subunit ribosomal RNA
Source: RNAcentral
GACGAACGCUGGCGGCGUGCCUAAUACAUGCAAGUUGAGCGCUGAAGGUUGGUACUUGUACCAACUGGAUGAGCAGCGAACGGGUGAGUAACGCGUGGGGAAUCUGCCUUUGAGCGGGGGACAACAUUUGGAAACGAAUGCUAAUACCGCAUAAAAACUUUAAACACAAGUUUUAAGUUUGAAAGAUGCAAUUGCAUCACUCAAAGAUGAUCCCGCGUUGUAUUAGCUAGUUGGUGAGGUAAAGGCUCACCAAGGCGAUGAUACAUAGCCGACCUGAGAGGGUGGUCGGCCACAUUGGGACUGAGACACGGCCCAAACUCCUACGGGGGGGAGCAGUAGGGAAUCUUCGGCAAUGGACGAAAGUCUGACCGAGCAACGCCGCGGGAGUGAAGGAGGUUGUCGGAUCGUAAAACUCUGUUGGUAGGGAAGAACGGUGGUGGGAGUGGAAAGCUCAUCAAGUGACGGUAACUACCCAGAAAGGGACGGCUAACUACGUG